This 484-nucleotide ribosomal RNA is filed under the name uncultured bacterium. Its description in RNAcentral is "partial 16S ribosomal RNA". It matches the Rfam family "Bacterial small subunit ribosomal RNA", at positions 30 to 507 of the family's 1533-position model. The record is from RNAcentral.
AUUGAACGCUGGCGGCAGGCCUAACACAUGCAAGUCGAGCGGAUGAAGGGAGCUUGCUCCUGGAUUCAGCUGCGGACGGGUGAGUAAUUCCUAGGAAUCUGCCUGGUAUUGGGGGAUAACGUCCGGAAACGGGCGCUAAUACCGCAUACGUCCUGAUGGAGAACGUGGGGGAUCUUCGGACCUCACGCUAUCAGAUGAGCCUAGGUCGGAUUAGCUAGUUGGUGGGGUAAAGGCCUACCAAGGCGACGAUCCGUAACUGGUCUGAGAGGAUGAUCAGUCACACUGGAACUGAGACACGGUCCAGACUCCUACGGGAGGCAGCAGUGGGGAAUAUUGGACAAUGGGCGAAAGCCUGAUCCAGCCAUGCCGCGUGUGUGAAGAAGGUCUUCGGAUUGUAAAGCACUUUAAGUUGGGAGGAAGGGAAGUAAGUUAAUACCUUGCUGUUUUGACGUUACCAAAAGAAUAAGCACCGGCUAACUUCGUG